Molecule: unclassified non-coding RNA, 336 nt
Filed under: soil metagenome
Description: partial contains 5.8S ribosomal RNA, internal transcribed spacer 2, and large subunit ribosomal RNA
Rfam family: 5.8S ribosomal RNA (bases 1-120)
Source: RNAcentral
GAUGAAGAACGCAGCGAAAUGCGAUAAGUAGUGUGAAUUGCAGAAUUCAGUGAAUCAUCGAAUCUUUGAACGCACAUUGCGCCCCUUGGUAUUCCAUGGGGCAUGCCUGUUCGAGCGUCAUUUGUACCUUCAAGCUUUGCUUGGUGUUGGGUGUUUGUCUCGCCUUUGCGUGUAGACUCGCCUUAAAAUAAUUGGCAGCCGGCGUAUAGAUUUCGGAGCGCAGUACAUCUCGCGCUUUGCACUCAUAACGACAGCGUCCAAAAGUACAUUUUACACUCUUGACCUCGGAUCAGGUAGGGAUACCCGCUGAACUUAAGCAUAUCAAUAAGCGGAGGA